GAUAUGAUACAAUUUAAUUUUGAAGAAGAAAAAUGAUUUAUAUACACAUUUCUUAGUAAAAUUUUCUAUUUCUUGCUAAUAACAUUUUAAUUCAGAAAAUGCAUUGCUAUAAAUAUAUAAUAGGACCUUUGCAACUUAAUUAUGAGUAAUUAACUCACACUUCAUAUAGUAUGGAGCACCUUAGAUUACAUAUUGUUGAACUAUUGGCAUUAAUAUCUGUAUUUUCAUGUUAUUUACAAUACAUAA
This 246-nucleotide long non-coding RNA is filed under the name Bos taurus (domestic cattle). RNAcentral's name for it is "long non-coding RNA NONBTAT006624". Lineage: Eukaryota; Metazoa; Chordata; Mammalia; Artiodactyla; Bovidae. The record is from RNAcentral.